AUACUCCGAGAACUGAAAGGCUUUUUGAAGUCUUCGGAUGGAUAGAAGAACCCCUGAUGCCGUCGAGCCAAGAAAAGUUUCUAAGUUUAGCUAAUGUUGCCCGUACCGUAAACCGACACAGGUGGGUGGGAUGAGUAUUCUAAGGCGCGUGGAAGAACUCUCUUUAAGGAACUCUGCAAAAUAGCACCGUAUCUUCGGUAUAAGGUGUGGUUAGCUUUGUAUUAGGAUUUACUCCGAAAGCAAGGAAACUUACAACAAAGAGUCCCUCCCGACUGUUUACCAAAAACACAGCACUCUGCUAACUCGUAAGAGGAUGUAUAGGGUGUGACGCCUGCCCGGUGCUCGAAGGUUAAUUGAUGGGGUUAGCAUUAGCGAAGCUCUUGAUCGAAGCCCGAGUAAACGGCGGCCGUAACUAUAACGGUCCUAAGGUAGCGAAAUUCCUUGUCGGUUAAAUACCGACCUGCAUGAAUGGCGUAACGAGAUGGGAGCUGUCUCAAAGAGGGAUCCAGUGAAAUUGUAGUGGAGGUGAAAAUUCCUCCUACCCGCGGCAAGACGGAAAGACCCCGUGGACCUUUACUACAGCUUGACACUGCUACUUGGAUAAGAAUGUGCAGGAUAGGUGGGAGGCUUUGAGUAUAUGACGCCAGUUGUAUAUGAGCCAUUGUUGAGAUACCACUCUUUCUUAUUUGGGUAGCUAACCAGCUUGAGUUAUCCUCAAGUGGGACAAUGUCUGGUGGGUAGUUUGACUGGGGCGGUCGCCUCCCAAAUAAUAACGGAGGCUUACAAAGGUUGGCUCAGAACGGUUGGAAAUCGUUCGUAGAGUAUAAAGGUAUAAGCCAGCUUAACUGCAAGACAUACAAGUCAAGCAGAGACGAAAGUCGGUCUUAGUGAUCCGGUGGUUCUGUGUGGAAGGGCCAUCGCUCAAAGGAUAAAAGGUACCCCGGGGAUAACAGGCUGAUCUCCCCCAAGAGCUCACAUCGACGGGGAGGUUUGGCACCUCGAUGUCGGCUCAUCGCAUCCUGGGGCUGGAGCAGGUCCCAAGGGUAUGGCUGUUCGCCAUUUAAAGCGGUACGCGAGCUGGGUUCAGAACGUCGUGAGACAGUUCGGUCCCUAUCUGCCGUGGGCGUAAGAAGAUUGAAGAGAUUUGACCCUAGUACGAGAGGACCGGGUUGAACAAACCACUGGUGUAGCUGUUGUUCUGCCAAGAGCAUCGCAGCGUAGCUAAGUUUGGAAAGGAUAAACGCUGAAAGCAUCUAAGCGUGAAGCCAACUCUAAGAUGAAUCUUCUCUAAGCUCUCUAGAAGACUACUAGUUUGAUAGGCUGGGUGUGUAAUGGAUGAAAGUCCUUUAGCUGACCAGUACUAAUAGAGCGUUUGGCUUAUCUUU
Molecule: ribosomal RNA, 1385 nt
Filed under: Campylobacter coli
Lineage: Bacteria; Pseudomonadati; Campylobacterota; Epsilonproteobacteria; Campylobacterales; Campylobacteraceae
Also listed under: 1 other name
Description: partial 23S ribosomal RNA
Rfam family: Bacterial large subunit ribosomal RNA
Source: RNAcentral